GUGACACAUGACGACAUCGCAGCUUUUAGGAACUGUUAAAGUGGAAAUCACUUUUCUAAUCGUAGAUGCUGCUCCUGUGAAGCAGAAAACCAAAGCAGUGAAAGGUCAGAGUCUCCUAUGUCACAGACAUAUAAGGAAUAGAUCUGUUCCUGUCUAUGAUAAAUGUGCUGUCUUUAUACUGGAGAUUGUUUGGGUUAGCUUAGCACGUAGCGACUAGUCCCACGUGUUUGGUUAGCUUAGCACGUAGCGACCAGUCUCACAUGUUUGGGUUAGCUUAGCACGUAGCAACCAGUCCCACAUGUUUGGUUAGCUUAGCACAUAGCGACCAGUCUCACAUGUUUGGUUAGCUUAGCACGUAGCAACUAGUCCUACAUGUUUGGUUAGCUUAGCACGUAGCGACAAGUCCCACAUGUUUGGUUAGCUUAGCACGUAGCGACCAGUCCCACAUGUUUGGUUAGCUUAGCACGUAGCAACUAGUUCCACAAGUGUGGUUAGCUUAGCAAGUAGCGACCAGUCUCAAAUGUUUUGUUAGCUUAGCACGUAGCGACCAGUCUCACACGUUUGGGUUAGCUUAGCACGUAGCAACCAGUCUCACAUGUUUGGGUUAGCUUAGCACGUAGCGACCAGUCUCACAUAUUUGGGUUAGCUUAGCACGUAGCGACCAGUCUCACAUAUUUGGGUUAGCUUAGCACGUAGCGACCAGUCUCACAUAUUUGGGUUAGCUUAGCACGUAGCGACCAGUCUCACAUGUUUGGGUUAGCUUAGCACUUGCAGUGCUGGCUGAGCAGGGUCAGAGGGUAAAGGGGCGGGGCUAUGCUAUCAGCUGAGUUCUCAAAGGUUGGUCUUUGUGUCUCUACAGACUCUGCUGUAAACAAACUAAAAACUAAAAGCUCUGCAGCGGUGAACAAAGAAAUCAAAACAAAAAGCAGAAGCUCUGCGUCUCCUCAGAAAGAGGCGUCAGGUGUGCGACAGAAGAGGAAAGCAGCGACCAUAUUACUGAGGAGCAAAGCCAAGACCUCUGUGGCAAAGUCAGUAGGAGCAGAUCCUCAUCCUCUACGACUGCGAUCCAGAGCUGACGCUGAGAGGAGAUCCAAUGUUACGUCUCAGGACAGAAAGGAGAAAACAGCCAGACCCUCACCUGCACCAGCUGCAGCAGAGCCACCAGCCGAAGAAACUGUGACAGAAAAAAAGAAACAAAAAUUUUUCCAGUGCAUUUACUUCCCGGGAAAAAGCGCGCAAUACCCUCUGCGACCUUUCACCCCGGCCAUGUCGCCCGCCAUGCUGUCCCCGGCCGUGCGAUCCAUGUUGGAACAGCAGCAGCGAGCAGCAGCCAGAGGGCCAGGCCAAUAA
Molecule: long non-coding RNA, 1350 nt
Filed under: Gouania willdenowi (blunt-snouted clingfish)
Lineage: Eukaryota; Metazoa; Chordata; Actinopteri; Blenniiformes; Gobiesocidae
Description: lncRNA (ENSGWIG00000009082.1)
Source: RNAcentral